GCGCCUGUAGCUCAGUGGAUUAGAGUGCCUGGCUACGAACCAGUUGGUCGGGGGUUCGACUCCCUCCAGGCGCACCA
RNAcentral lists this transfer RNA (77 nucleotides) under Candidatus Goldiibacteriota bacterium HGW-Goldbacteria-1. Its description in RNAcentral is "Candidatus Goldbacteria bacterium HGW-Goldbacteria-1 tRNA-Arg". It matches the Rfam family "tRNA". Rfam says of the family: Transfer RNA (tRNA) molecules are approximately 80 nucleotides in length. Lineage: Bacteria; Candidatus Goldiibacteriota. RNAcentral also lists the same sequence under 1 other name. The record is from RNAcentral.